GUGAGCAGCGAAUUUCCGGCCCCGAUCCGCCGCCUUCCGGCCACUUUCCGGCCAAAACUCUUGUACUUCCGGACUCCCCGCAACUUGAGCUUCGCGUAGGCGCUUCCAGAUUUGAAUUCCGACACUGUUGGCAGGACCGGCUUCCGGACCCCGGUGUUUUCUGGACGCGCGAAAUAUUUUAAUUUUUAACUCGAUAAUUCAGCCUUCUCGCCAGCUCCACCCGAGGCGUAGGAGCGGACUGUGGAACGCAUCAAAUCUGUGAUAGUUAAAGACCUUCGCCAUCGCACAUUCGACAGUCCGACUUCUUCUUCUUCGAACUUUUGUAAUUAUCUUGUACUUCUAUACUUGUCAUUUUUACUCUAGAGUAUCCGCAGUAGGAAAUUUAAAAUUUAUAUAACUUUCUGACUCAUGUUGGUAGUAUGAUGAUUUAUUAUGCAAGACAAUUAUGACUACUUUAUAUUUUGAUAAUUGUAUAUCUGGUUUUGCGGGUUGGUAAGGCUUACUACGGGUUUUGGUGGCCUUAAGCCUACCCAUUCCCUAGUGCCGGUCACGGGCCCACAAAGUGGGUCGUGACAAAGUUGGUAUCAGAGUUUAGGUUUAGUUUUUCCUUCAACCUAGGUUAGCUUUCUAAACUACUGCGGGAACUAGGAAAAAUUGAGUCUGUCCUUGCAUGUUUCGUUGAUUCUAGUAUCUGCGCUAUACGUUAGAGAGUCUGUUGGGUUAAUAACUUGUUGUUCAUUUUCAGCUCUUGCCAAUGCUGAGAACCCGAGCGACUGCAGCUGCAGCAUCGGCCCAGGAAGGCGAAGAUGAGUUUUCUGCUCAGACGGCUCCUCCGGACCCAGCCCAUGGUACCAGAAGGCGAGGUAAGCCUCGAGCAGCAGCCCAACCAGAUCAGGGCGAGGCUCAUGAGGUACAUGGUGCUGGUGAAAUUCCAAUGGAGGCUUUUGUGUCCAGUAUGACUGGGAUGCAGAGGGCCUUAGAGCAGUUGCUAGUCUUCCAGCAGCAGCAGGCUGCUCAGGGUGCAGGAAGUCGUGCUAGUGGGUCCGGUAUCAAGAAUUCGGACGAUGUCCCUAUGUCUGAGUAUACCAAGUUAAGACCUGUGGAGUUUGAUGGGACAGCUGGAGACCCUCUAGACUUUUUGGAUGAGGUUGAAAAGAGGGCGUAUGAUUUGCACUGUUCUGACAGGAGGACCAUCGAGAUGGCCGAGUUUUCCUUGAAGGGACUGGCAUCCCAGUGGUUUAGAGAUUAUAUCCGCCCCUUUCUGGAUGGGUUGUCGUGGAGGCAAUUCAGAGACAGAUUCGAAGAGUACUUCAUCCCUUUCAGUGUAAGGCAGGAGUACAGGGAGAAGUUUGAAAGGUUAGUUAAGGGAGAAUCAUCUGUGGCUGAAUACACCAGGAAAUUUGUUCAGCUGAGUAGGUAUGCACCUUAUGUUGUGGGGACUGAGGAGCAGAAGAACAACAAAUACAUUUCAGGGCUCGGCCCAGAGUUUAUUUCUUUGGUUCAAUCUAGGAGGAGCAGCUUCCUAGAAGUUACUGACAUGGCGAGGCAGAUGGAGAUGACGCUGCGAGGGUUUAGUCAAGGGACUGACGAUGGUAGGAAGAAGACAACCAGGGUUGAGGGUCAGUCCAGUGCGCAGCCUGUCGUACCGUGCUAUGGUAGUGGAAGUUACUCUGGAGGUACCGACCAGCAGGCCGUGCAGAGAAGUCACCGCAUCCACAGAAAGGGUAGGCGUAAUCGGAGGAGUAGCCGAGGAUUCAGACCUGGUCAGGGCUUCAGUGGUAGUAGGCAGAGUUCAGGCUACAGCAGCUCUAGUUCUAGGGCCAGCACUUGUCAGAUGUGUGGCAGGUCACAUCAGGGACCGUGCCUAACAUCCAGUGGAGCCUGUUUUAGGUGUGGUGAGAUGGGACAUAUGGCUCGAGAGUGUCCUCGCUAUUUCAGUCGACCAGCUUUUCCACAAGGCUCGUCCGCUAGUGCGACCCGACCAGCUUUUCCUGCAACCCCGGGACAUUUUCAAGAUGGAUCUCAGUUUGUUGGCCAGCAGGGCCGUAGUUUUGGAGGUAGAUCUUCAGGAGGCCGGUCUGGGGGUAGGGUUCAAGGUCGAGCUUUAGGGUCUCAACAGUCAGGCCGGGGGCAAGCUAGAGUGUUUACCCUUACUCCUCAAGAUGCGCGAGCCUCAAAUGCUGUGGUGUCAGGUACUAUUCUUGUUUGUCAUUCUGAGGCUAGAGUUUUGUUAGACCCUAGGGCUACCCAUUCUUUCGUAUCGCCUAGUUUUGCCUUAAGAUUGGAUGUCCAUCCCGUUAGGCUUCGAAUUUCGAUGUCGGUCACUACGCCGUUAAGUAAGGCCUUAGAGACUGAUGUCGUGUAUCCGUCGUGUCCGGUGUCUGUUGAGGGACGAGAUUUGGUUGCUGACCUAAUUCUUUUAGAUGUAAUGGAUUUUGAUGUGAUAUUGGGAAUGGAUUGGUUAGCUAUGCAUUUCGCCAUGUUGGACUGCAGGGAGAAACAAGUGACUUUUCGAAUUCCUGGAGACUCAGAGUUCUAUUUUAAAGGUGAGCAGAUACCUUCUCCCUCGAACCUCGUGUCAGUGAUUGCAGCUAGGCGGAUGCUUCGCCGUGGAUGUCAGGGAUAUUUGGCUUUGGUUAGGGAUACCUCUGCAAGGAAAGGUUGCGUCGAAGACGUUCCGGUGGUUUGCGAGUUUCCUGAUGUGUUUCCAGAAGAACUACCUGGAUUACCGCCCAAUAGAGAGAUAGAAUUCUGUAUCGAUGUGAUACCGGGUACAACACCUAUUUCUUUGCCGCCCUAUCAAAUGGCACCGGCCGAGUUAAAAGAGCUAAAAGAGCAAUUGUAAGACCUCCUAGAUAAGGGUUUCAUUAGACCUAGUACGUCUCCUUGGGGUGCUCCUGUUCUGUUCGUAAAGAAGAAGGAUGGUACCUUGCGUCUUUGCAUCGAUUACCGGCAACUAAAUAAGGCGACGAUUCGUAACCGGUAUCCGCUUCCUCGCAUCGAUGACCUAUUCGAUCAGCUUCAGGGUGCUGUGUAUUUCUCCAAGAUUGAUUUGCAAUCGGGGUAUCACCAGUUGAGGAUCCAUGGUGAAGACGUGCCAAAGACGGCGUUCAGGACGCGUUAUGGGUAUUAUGAGUUUCUGGUGAUGUCGUUUGGACUCACUAAUGCCCCUGCGGCUUUCAUGGAUUUGAUGAAUCGAGUGUUCAAGGAAUUUCUGGAUCGUUUUGUCAUUGUAUUCAUUGAUGAUAUCUUGGUUUAUUCCAAAAGCGAAGAGGAGCACGCGUGGCACUUGAGGAUAGUACUUCAGACUUUGAGGGAACAUCAAUUGUACACUAAGUUCUCCAAGUGCGAGUUCUGGUUGGAAAGCGUUGCUUUUCUAGGGCACAUAGUAUCUAAAGAGGGUAUUUAGGUGGACCCUAAGAAAGUGGAGGCAGUGACUGAUUGGCAGAGGCCAACUUCAGUGACUGAAGUGCGUAGCUUUCUAGGGUUGGCAGGCUACUACCGUCGAUUUGUGCAAGACUUUUCGAGGAUAGCAGCGCCUUUGACUAAGUUGACUCAGAAAAAUGUCAGGUUUCAGUGGACUGACGCGUGUGAGAGAAGCUUUCAAAAGUUGAAGGACUGUUUGACUUCAGCUCCGGUGUUGACCUUACCUUCUGGGACUGGUGGAUUCACGGUGUAUUGCGACGCUUCUGGAGUGGGUUUGGGUUGUGUUCUGAUGUAAAAUGGAAAGGUAAUAGCUUAUGCGUCUAGGCAAUUGAAGAAGCAUGAACAAAAUUACCCGACCCACGAUUUGGAGAUGGCAGCAGUAAUUUUUGCAUUAAAGAUUUGGAGGCACUAUCUCUAUGGAGAGACGUGCGAGAUUUAUACGGAUCAUAAAAGCUUAAAGUAUAUUUUUCAACAGAAGGAUUUGAACCUGAGGCAGAGAAGGUGGUUAGAGCUUCUGAAGGACUAUGAUUGUAAUAUUCUCUACCACCCGGGUAAUGCGAAUGUUGUGGCUGAUGCUUUGAGCAGGAAGUCGGUAGGUAGUCUUGCUCAUGUCAGUGUAGAGAAGAGACCGCUGGUUAGAGAGUUGCAUGAACUGUAUGAUCAAGGGUUACAGGUGGAGAUAUUAGAAUCGGGUGCAUUAUUAGCACAUUUCUGGAUUAGGUCUGUGCUUGUGGACAGAAUCAGGAUGGCUCAGAAUCGGGACCCACAGUUGCAGAAAAUCUUGGAAGAUGUGCAGCAGGGUCGAGCUAAUAACUUUGUUAUAAAUGAUGAUGGCACCCUCAUGAUGGGCUCUAGGCUGUGUGUUCCCGAUGUGGAUAAUCUCAGGAAGGAGAUUUUAGAAGAAGCUCACUGUACAACUUACAGCGUGCAUCCGGGCUCCACAAAGAUGUACCAUGAUUUGAAAGGAAAUUAUUGGUGGAGCGGGAUGAAGAGAGAUGUAGCAGAGUUUGUCUCCAAAUGUCUGACGUGUCAGCAGGUUAAAUUAGAGCAUCAGAAGCCGUUUGGUUUACUGCAGCCGCUUCCUAUACCAGAGUGGAAAUGGGAAAGGAUUACUAUGGAUUUUGUAUCAGGUUUACCCAAGACUUUUACUGGUUAUGACUCCAUCUGGAUAAUUGUGGAUCGAUUGACUAAGUUAGCGCAUUUUCUUCCGGUAAAGACUACCUACUCUGUAACUAAGUAUGCAAGAGUGUAUCUGGAAAGGAUUGUCAGUCUUCACGGCGUCCCGGUUUCCAUAGUGUCUGACAGGGGGCCGCAAUUUACUUCAAGGUUUUGGAAAAAGUUACAAGAGGAACUUGGUACCAGGUUGGACUUCAGUACGGCCUUCCAUCCUCAGACGGACGGACAAUCAGAAAGGACUAUUCAGACCUUAGAGGAUAUGCUUCGGAUGUGCGUGAUAGACUUUGAUGGUCAAUGGGAUUGGUAUCUACCGUUGGUCGAAUUCGCGUAUAAUAACAGCUAUCAUGCAAGUAUCAAAAUGGCACCUUUCGAGGCCUUGUAUGGUCGGAAGUGUAGAUCCCCCAUAUGUUGGGAAGAAGUUGGUGAACGGAAGUUAGCAGGAUCGGAAUUGGUUUAGAUCACUUCAGAAAAGAUUUCGGUUAUUCGCGAGCGACUGAAGACAGCUUUUAGUAGGCAGAAAAGUUAUGCGGAUCCAAAACGGAAGCACGUGGAAUUCAGUGUUGGGGAAUAUGUAUUCUUGAAGGUGUCUCCUAUGCGUGGUGUGUUGCGGUUCGGCAAGAAGGGCAAAUUGGCACCUCGUUAUGUGGGACCCUUUGAGAUUAUUGGCAGAAUUGGAGAUGUGGCAUACAAACUAGACUUGCCACCGAACUUCUCGCACGUGCAUCCACUCAAGUUCGCCAGCUGCGCUCUAAAAUUAUUCCGAUGGUCAAAGUUUUGUGGCAGAAUCAUUUGUCUGAAGAGUGUACCUGGGAAACCGAGCAGGAAAUGAGAAGCCUCUACCCUCAUUUAUUUCAAUCCUAAGUGGGCCAUGGUUUAAUCAUAUAUAUAUAUAUAUAUAUAUAUAUAUAUAUAUAUAUAUAUAUAUAUAUAUAUAUAUAUAUAUAUUUAAAAAAAAUCUCUCCUUUUUCUCCUCCCUCUCUCUCUUUUCCAUCCUCCCUUCCUUCCCCUUCACUCCCCUAUGUCGACUGCUUUCUCCCUUCUCCCUCUCCCCGUCGACUGCCUUCUCCCCCGCACUGCCUACGUGCCGCCCAGCUCGCCGCCGCCGUUCAGCAGCGCCUUCCCCUCCUCCUUCCUUUCCGCGCGACACCGACGAAGGACGAAGAGGCUGCCAUCGUCGAUUCGGCCUCCUGUCGGCGUCCUUUCCGCAAACCGACGCCGGAAUCGGACUCCCCAUCCCUAAAAACCCCGGAAGCAACCCUCCUCCGUCAGAAAAUUCUUGCCGGCAGCCUUGGAAAGUGUCGCAUGAGCAGCGACUUUUCGGCCCUGAUCCGCCGCCUUCCAGCCACUUUCCGGCCAAAACUCUUGUACUUCCGGACUCCCCGCAACUUGAGCUUCGCGUAGGCGCUUCCGGAUUUGAAUUCCGACACUGUUGGCAGGACCGGCUUCCGGACCCUGGUGUUUUCUGGACGCGCGAAAUAUUUCAAUUUUUAAUUCGAUAAUUCAGCCUUCCCGCCAGCUCCACCCGAGGCGUAGGAGCGGACUGUGGAACGCAUCAAAUCUGUGAUAGUUAAAGACCUUCGCCAUCGCACAUUCGACAGUCCGACUUCUUCUUCUUCGGACUUUUGUAAUUAUCUUGUACUUCUAUACUUGUCAUUUUUACUCUAGAGUAUCCGCAGUAGGAAAUUUUAAAAUUUAUAUAACUUUCUGACUCCUGUUGGUAGUAUGAUGAUUUAUUAUGCAAG
RNAcentral lists this long non-coding RNA (6344 nucleotides) under Ricinus communis (castor bean). RNAcentral describes it as "long non-coding RNA (RCOM_LNC001810)". Lineage: Eukaryota; Viridiplantae; Streptophyta; Magnoliopsida; Malpighiales; Euphorbiaceae. The record is from RNAcentral.